AGUGUCAUAUGUGCAAAAUUUGAAGAAUUUUCCCCAUCUACCCACGAUGCAAAUGCAAUCGCAACAUAGAUGCGCCACUUGUUGGCCACGACGCUUUAUCGUUGCCAAUCGCGUUGCGAGAGGCCGAGAGAAAUGGCCAACUGCAAUGAUGAUGGUCAACAGCGAUGGCCCUGUGACGUGACCACGCCAAAAAGACCAAGAACCACAUGCCUGCCCCCGAUGAUGAUGCCAAAUAGCUGAUAGGCAAAGCCAACAAUCCCGGCCAACAGGCAUUUUUCUGCGCCUACUUACAGUUUUCCACUACGAAAAACUAAUGAUAAGAUUCAAGUGAAGAUACAAAUUCAAUGUAAACAAUUUAGCAUACAAAAC
Drosophila melanogaster (fruit fly) is the source of this 369-nucleotide non-coding RNA. The record is from Ensembl. Lineage: Eukaryota; Metazoa; Arthropoda; Insecta; Diptera; Drosophilidae.